AUGGGAACGCGAAGAACCUUACCUACUCUUGACAUCCAGAGAACUUAGCAGAGAUGCUUUGGUGCCUUCGGGAACUCUGAGACAGGUGGUGCAUGGUUGUCGUCAGCUCGUGUUGUGAAAUGUUGGGUUAAGUCCCGCAACGAGCGCAACCCUUAUCCUUUGUUGCCAGCGGUUAGGCCGGGAACUCAAAGGAGACUGCCAGUGAUAAACUGGAGGAAGGUGGGAUGACGUCAAGUCAUCAUGGCCCUUACGAGUAGGGCUACACACGUGCUACAAUGGCGCAUACAAAGAGAAGCGACCUCGCGAGAGCAAGCGGACCUCAUAAAGUGCGUCGUAGUCCGGAUUGGAGUCUGCAACUCGACUCCAUGAAGUCGGAAUCGCUAGUAAUCGUAGAUCAGAAUGCUACGGUGAAUAC
This 415-nucleotide ribosomal RNA is filed under the name uncultured bacterium. Its description in RNAcentral is "bacterial SSU rRNA". It matches the Rfam family "Bacterial small subunit ribosomal RNA", at positions 954 to 1369 of the family's 1533-position model. The record is from RNAcentral.